CCUACGGGAGGCAGCAUUGAGGAAUAUUGGUCAAUGGACGAUAGUCUGAACCAGCCAAGUAGCGUGAAGGAUGACUGCCCUAUGGGUUGUAAACUUCUUUUAUAUGGGAAUAAAAUGUUCCACGUGUGGGAUUUUGUCUGUAACAUAUGAAUAAGGAUCGGCUAACUCCGUGCCAGCAGCCGCGGUAAUACGGAGGAUCCGAGCGUUAUCCGGAUUUAUUGGGUGUAUAGGGAGCGUAGGUGGAUUGUUAAGUCAGUUGUGAAAGUUUGCGGCUCAACCGUAAAAUUGCAGUUGAAACUGGCAGUCGUGAGUACAGUAGAGGUGGGCGGAAUGCGUGGUGUAGCGGUGAAAUGCUUAGAUAUCACGAAGAACUCCGAUUGCGAAGGCAGUUCACUGGACUGCAACUGACACUGAGGCUCGAAAGUGUGGGUAUCAAACAGGAGUAGAUACCCCAGUAGUC
This 460-nucleotide ribosomal RNA is filed under the name uncultured bacterium. RNAcentral describes it as "partial 16S ribosomal RNA". It matches the Rfam family "Bacterial small subunit ribosomal RNA", at positions 338 to 795 of the family's 1533-position model. The record is from RNAcentral.